AGAGUUUGAUCCUGGCUCAGGACGAACGCUGGCGGCGUGCCUAACACAUGCAAGUCGAACGGAGAAUUUCAAUAAGCUUGCUUAGAGAAAUUUUUAGUGGCGGACGGGUGAGUAACGCGUGGAUAAUCCGGGACAACCCUUGGAAACGAGGGCUAAUACCGGAUAAUCUUUGAGAGUGGCAUCACUCAUAAAGAAAAGGUGGCCUCUGUAUAUGCUACCGAUUAUGGAUGGACCCGCGUCCGAUUAGCCAGUUGGUGGGGUAAAGGCCUACCAAAGCGACGAUGGGUAGCCGGCCUGAGAGGGUGACCGGCCACACUGGAACUGAGAUACGGUCCAGACUCCUACGGGAGGCAGCAGUGGGGAAUCUUCCGCAAUGGGCGAAAGCCUGACGGAGCAACGCCGCGUGAGCGAAGAAGGUCUUCGGAUUGUAAAGCUCUGUGAUAUUGGACGAAACAAAUGACGGUACAAUAAGAGGAAGCCACGGCUAACUACGUGCCAGCAGCCGCGGUAAUACGUAGGUGGCAAACGUUGUCCGGAAUUACUGGGCGUAAAGGGCGAGUAGGUGGUUUAUUAAGUCAGAAGUGAAAACUCCGGGCUCAACUCGGAGACUGCUCCUGAAACUGGUAGACUUGAGUGCAAGAGAGGGAAGUGGAAUUCCUAGUGUAGCGGUAAAAUGCGUAGAUAUAUGGAGGAACACCAGUGGCGAAGGCGGUUGCCUGGCCUGUAACUGACGCUGAGGCACGAAAGCGUGGGGAGCAAAUAGGAUUAGAUACCCUAGUAGUCCACGCUGUAAACGAUGAAUACUAAGUGUUGGAGAAAUUCAGUGCUGCAGUUAAGCAGUUAACGCAAUAAGUAUUCCGCCUGGGGAGUAUGCACGCAAGUGUGAAACUCAAAGGAAUUGACGGGGGCCCGCACAAGCGGUGGAGUAUGUGGUUUAAUUCGACGCAACGCGAAGAACCUUACCAGGUCUUGACAUCCUCUGAUGACCUAAGAGAUUAGGAGUUCUGCUUUCGGGCAGACAGAGAGACAGGUGGUGCAUGGUUGUCGUCAGCUCGUGUCGUGAGAUGUUGGGUUAAGUCCCGCAACGAGCGCAACCCUUAUUCUUAGUUGCCAUCACAUAAUGUGGGCACUCUAGGGAGACUGCCGGUGAUAAACCGGAGGAAGGUGGGGAUGACGUCAAAUCAUCAUGCCCUUUAUGACCUGGGCUACACACGUACUACAAUGGCCUGUACAAAGGGUAGCGAAGCCGCGAGGUGGAGCCAAUCCCAAAAAGCAGGUCUCAGUUCGGAUUGUAGGCUGCAACUCGCCUACAUGAAGUCGGAAUCGCUAGUAAUCGCGGAUCAGCAUGCCGCGGUGAAUACGUUCCCGGGCCUUGUACACACCGCCCGUCACACCACGAAAGUCUGCAACACCCGAAGCCGAUGUAGCAACCGUAAGGAGCAAGUCGUCGAAGGUGGGGCCGAUGAUUGGGGUGAAGUCGUAACAAGGUAACC
RNAcentral lists this ribosomal RNA (1493 nucleotides) under uncultured bacterium. Its description in RNAcentral is "16S ribosomal RNA". It matches the Rfam family "Bacterial small subunit ribosomal RNA". The record is from RNAcentral.